AGCAGCCGCGGUAAUUCCAGCUCCAAUAGCGUAUAUUAAAGUUGUUGCAGUUAAAAAGCUCGUAGUUGAAUUUCGGGAUUAGUACGUUGGUCGUGCCUUCGGUACGUACUGGUGUUACUGAUUCCUACCUUCUGACGAACCAUCAUGUCAUUAAUUUGGUGUGGUGAGGAAUCAGGACUGUUACUUUGAAAAAAUUAGAGUGUUUAAAGCAGGCUCGCGCUUGAAUACAUUAGCAUGGAAUAAUGAAAUAGGACGUUGACCCUAUUUUGUUGGUUUCUAGGAUUGACGUAAUGAUUAAUAGGGAUAGUUGGGGGCAUUAGUAUUCAAUUGUCAGAGGUGAAAUUCUUGGAUUUAUUGAAGACUAACUACUGCGAAAGCAUUUGCCAAGGAUGUUUUCAUUAAUCAAGAACGAAAGUUAGGGGAUCGAAGACGAUCAGAUACCGUCGUAGUCUUAACCAUAAACUAUGCCGACUAGGGAUCGGAUGAUGUUAUUUUUAAUGACUCAUUCGGCGCCUUACG
RNAcentral lists this ribosomal RNA (519 nucleotides) under uncultured Glomeromycotina. RNAcentral describes it as "SSU rRNA". It matches the Rfam family "Eukaryotic small subunit ribosomal RNA", at positions 569 to 1092 of the family's 1831-position model. Lineage: Eukaryota; Fungi; Glomeromycota. The record is from RNAcentral.